Molecule: ribosomal RNA, 497 nt
Filed under: uncultured bacterium
Lineage: Bacteria
Description: partial 16S ribosomal RNA
Rfam family: Bacterial small subunit ribosomal RNA
Source: RNAcentral
GAGGAAAGCUGGCGGCGUGCCUAAUACAUGCAAGUCGAGCGAACAGACGAGGAGCUUGCUCCUCUGACGUUAGCGGCGGACGGGUGAGUAACACGUGGAUAACCUACCUAUAAGACUGGGAUAACUUCGGGAAACCGGAGCUAAUACCGGAUAAUAUAUUGAACCGCAUGGUUCAAUAGUGAAAGACGGUUUUGCUGUCACUUAUAGAUGGAUCCGCGCCGCAUUAGCUAGUUGGUAAGGUAACGGCUUACCAAGGCAACGAUGCGUAGCCGACCUGAGAGGGUGAUCGACCACACUGGAACUGAGACACGGUCCAGACUCCUACGGGAGGCAGCAGUAGGGAAUCUUCCGCAAUGGGCGAAAGCCUGACGGAGCAACGCCGCGUGAGUGAUGAAGGUCUUCGGAUCGUAAAACUCUGUUAUUAGGGAAGAACAAAUGUGUAAGUAACUAUGCACGUCUUGACGGUACCUAAUCAGAGAGCCGCGGCUAAGUACGUG